Non-coding RNA from Macaca mulatta (Rhesus monkey), 382 nucleotides. NCBI's taxonomy places the organism in Eukaryota, Metazoa, Chordata, Mammalia, Primates, Cercopithecidae. The record is from RefSeq and is a predicted model, not a curated record.
GUAUAGAAGUCAAAUGUAUAAUAGGGCAGAUUAGUAGAGAAUAAUUCUUGCCAAACGAGAAAACAAGCAGGGAACUACCAGCAUGCUCCCCCAAAAGGUAUGGUCUUUCCAACAUGCUAUAAAGUGAAAUUAGACAUCUUAGGAAAGUAAUGACAGAAAGAUCAGAGGAUUUAGUUCAUCAUAUUUCUUACUCAUAGCAAGACCAAUACUUCCUGUAUUUCCUCCUCCUCAGCCUACUUGAUGUGAAGACAAGGAUGAAGACCUCCAUGAUGAGCCAUCUCCUCUUAAUGACUAGAAAAUAUUAUGAUUUUCAUAACAGCCUUUUCUUUUCUCUAGCUUAUUUUAUUACAAUAGAGCAUAUAUUAACAAUAUAUACAACAUA